This 300-nucleotide ribosomal RNA is filed under the name Triticum aestivum (bread wheat). RNAcentral's name for it is "partial small subunit ribosomal RNA". The record is from RNAcentral. Lineage: Eukaryota; Viridiplantae; Streptophyta; Magnoliopsida; Poales; Poaceae.
AUGCACUGGGGCUGCCCUUUAUUACCUCUAGAGGUCAGAAGGGCCCUUGCCAAGAAGAAAUAUAAUGUGUUUCAUGACCGUCUGAUGCCUGAGGGUUCCAAUAAGGUAUCCCUGCACGAUAUAACUGAUUCUGAGGAGCAGCAACAAGGUAAAAAGGGACACAAAGCAGGAGGUAAUCUUUGUGUCAAAAUGUGGACCUUGCCUGAGGGUGUACGGGUGCCAGUCUCCUUGAACACUUCGGGCCUGCCAAUUGGAGUAAAUGCAAACAUGUUGAUUAACUUUCUAGGCACACUAGCAUGA